Molecule: transfer RNA, 83 nt
Organism: Termitomyces sp. J132
Lineage: Eukaryota; Fungi; Basidiomycota; Agaricomycetes; Agaricales; Lyophyllaceae
Rfam family: tRNA
About the family: Transfer RNA (tRNA) molecules are approximately 80 nucleotides in length. Their secondary structure includes four short double-helical elements and three loops (D, anti-codon, and T loops).
Source: Rfam
GUCCCUGUCGAUUAGUGGUCAAAUCAUCUCGUUGUGGUAGGAAUUGCUCCGAGAAGCCGGAAGUUCGAAUCCUCCCAGGGACA